CAAGCCAGGACACCUGGAAGCCUGGAAAUGAAAGAAUUUAAAUUUCAAUGGAGUUGAUUUCAUCAAUCCUUUUGGUAUGGCCACCACUUCCUGUGCCGUGUUGAAGAAUCUGUCUACUGCUCUGAAGGCAUAAAGCCGUUCUCUACUUUCUAGAAGUUUUACAUUUUGUCUUUAACAUGUAUGUCUACAAUUCCCCUGAAAUUGAUGUCAUGAAUGGUUUGAGGUCGGGAUCAAGCUCCAUUUUUU
Molecule: long non-coding RNA, 246 nt
Filed under: Homo sapiens (human)
Lineage: Eukaryota; Metazoa; Chordata; Mammalia; Primates; Hominidae
Description: non-protein coding lnc-NEURL1B-1:1
Source: RNAcentral